AUGGUCACACUUGUCAUGCUCGUCGCUUGGGCGCUAUGGAAUGAAAGAAAUGCGUGUGUCUUCCGGAACCAUCCUUCAAUGCCGCCAACCAUUUUUGCUAAGAUUCAAACAAGAGUUGUUGAUUGGUCGACCGCCAGGGAGUAG
This 144-nucleotide ribosomal RNA is filed under the name Triticum aestivum (bread wheat). Its description in RNAcentral is "partial small subunit ribosomal RNA". The record is from RNAcentral. Lineage: Eukaryota; Viridiplantae; Streptophyta; Magnoliopsida; Poales; Poaceae.